RNAcentral lists this ribosomal RNA (468 nucleotides) under uncultured bacterium. Its description in RNAcentral is "partial 16S ribosomal RNA". It matches the Rfam family "Bacterial small subunit ribosomal RNA", at positions 28 to 507 of the family's 1533-position model. The record is from RNAcentral.
GACGAACGCUGGCGGCGUGCUUAACACAUGCAAGUCGAACGGAAAGGCCCUGCUUUUGUGGGGUGCUCGAGUGGCGAACGGGUGAGUAACACGUGAGUAACCUGCCCUUGACUUUGGGAUAACUUCAGGAAACUGGGGCUAAUACCGGAUAGGAGCUCCUGCUGCAUGGUGGGGGUUGGAAAGUUUCGGCGGUUGGGGAUGGACUCGCGGCUUAUCGGCUUGUUGGUGGGGGAGUGGCUUACCAAGGCUUUGACGGGUAGCCGGCCUGAGAGGGUGACCGGCCACAUUGGGACUGAGAUACGGCCCAGACUCCUACGGGAGGCAGCAGUGGGGAAUAUUGCACAAUGGGCGGAAGCCUGAUGCAGCAACGCCGCGUGCGGGAUGACGGCCUUCGGGUUGUAAACCGCUUUCGCCUGUGACGAAGCGUGAGUGACGGUAAUGGGUAAAGAAGCACCGGCUAACUACGUG